UCUCCUUACAGUGACCCCGCAGACGGCCACUGGUGCCGAGCGCCGAGAGGAGCCGCUCCGUGGGAAGGGGCAGAAGGACGGAGCCUCUUUGGAGCCACAGCAGUCCUUGCUCGAGGCACUCUCCUUGCUCAGCAGCGAUGACUGGGAGCUGAAGGAGAAGGGACUCUUCAGCAUCAAACACCUGGCUGAGUCCCACUCAGAAGUCCUUCUUUGUAGACUUCGUGAGGUUUGCUUGGCACUUACCAACGAGGUGACCAACCUUCGCUCAAAGGUGUCUUACUCUGCAAUCGUCACUCU
Long non-coding RNA from Corvus hawaiiensis (hawaiian crow), 297 nucleotides. RefSeq lists it as uncharacterized. NCBI's taxonomy places the organism in Eukaryota, Metazoa, Chordata, Aves, Passeriformes, Corvidae. The record is from RefSeq and is a predicted model, not a curated record. The transcript has 3 exons.